This is a long non-coding RNA of Oncorhynchus keta (chum salmon), 3825 nucleotides long. RefSeq lists it as uncharacterized. The record is from RefSeq and is a predicted model, not a curated record. The transcript is spliced from 2 exons. NCBI's taxonomy places the organism in Eukaryota, Metazoa, Chordata, Actinopteri, Salmoniformes, Salmonidae.
UAAAAAAAUAUGUUGCAUGUUGAAACACUAAGUGAUUUGUAGAGAUCAUGUAUUGUAUGCUUGUGUGUGUACGUGCAUGUGGGUGUGUACGUGUGCAAAAACUAACGUGAGUGAGCGAGCAGAGAUUUAGAAUUCUCUCUCUCUUUCACUGUCUUUGAAGGCAUUUGAGUUUCGGACUCUGAGGGAGGGGUGGUGGGUAAAAAGGGAAGAGGUCCUCCUUUUUGGUUGCUGUUAAAUUAUUUACAUUCCCGGUCCAACCAUCCCAAAGCAGAGACGGAACUGUCUCAUUCCUCAUUCAAAUACUUUUUCACUGCCAGAUGGGGAUGACCAUGCACAUCCCAGGCACGAACAUGGCCUCUUAUUGUGGCGGGGCCCAGCCCGGUGAUAGACCCAGACCCAGACAGACUAGGGGGUGACAGACAGGAAGACGGCCCAGACAUGAUUCACUGAGCUGGAGGGAGACAGCUCCCUCUCAUCCGUCUCUGGUUCUCACCGGGAGUCUGGAUCUAACUAACUGGCUGACUGUGGCUGCCCUCUGUCUGUCCCUCUCUACAGGAUAACUACACUAUGUUCUGGAUCUACUAACCUGGUGGAUAAUAAGGCCUGUCUGGAUUUUAACACCCUGGAUAUUGCAUCCAUAGUUGGUGUGUGUCUACCCAUGUCCGAUUUGAGGUUAUAGAAAGGAAAUAUCGUAAAAGAGGACACAGUGGAUCGGCACUCCGAAGUUAGUUUGUGUGGGUAUUUAUAGUGGUAUUGAAGCACAUGUAAACAUAAGAUACAUUUCAGAGAUACUGAGCCCAAAGGGACUGCCUGUGUAAGGUCUGUCUGUCUGUCUGUCUGUCUGUCUGUCUGUCUGUCUGUCUGUCUGUCUGUCUGUCUGUCUGUCUGUCUGUCUGUCUGUCUGUCUGUCUGUCUGUCUGUCUGUCUGUCUGUCUGUCUGUCUGUCUGUCUGUCUGUCUGUCUGUCUGUCUGUCUGUCUGUCUGUCUGUCUGUCUCACACUCGAUGCCAUGUGCUCCACAAUGGACCCUGGGUUUAAUGAUGAAUGGAGUUCCCACGCCUCUGUAAAGGAGAGGAGGGCACAAAACCCUCCUUUUAGCAUUCACACAAAAGAAAAAUAAAUUACACAUUUACACAGACAUGCGAUCACACUCAAACAUAUAAACACACUCCACACACUCAGAAUGUGAAAAAUGUGUAAGAAGAGACACUUAAUUACCAUAUUAUGAUUUUCGACCCAUAUGUUUGGUGAGGUUAAUAAUCAUAUUGACAGAGAUAAGUGCGACACCACUGCAUUUGUGUGAAUAUUGAUUGAUGAGACAGAGAACAGAAAGAAAUGUAGACCAGGCUAAAUUGCAUUCAGACCAUUUUUAAAGAUGUGAUUGCGAGGUUGUGUAAGUGUUUACGCGCACGUGUGUGUGAGACAGAGAGAGACAGAGAGGGUCAGACAGAGGGAGGGAGAGCCAGGGGGAGGUAGAGAGGGACAGGGAGGUGGAGAGGGACAAAUAAAUGGUAAUAAAGCUGGUUUUGUGGAGGGAAUCUAAAUGAAGCAUUGAAACAAAAGAUCUGUCUACACUUGGGUUUGUGGGAAAAUCUAACAGCUUAUUGAAGUUCAAAGACUGUAUGUGUGUGUGCGUGUGUGUGUGUGUGUGAAGAAGGAGCCAAUAAUAAUAGUUAAGUCAAUUUUAUUUACAUCAAUAUUUACAUUAUUCAGUUAUUUAAUUAUGGGGGUUUGCAUGACAAAAUGUCUUAUCAAUUAUACCAUUUUGAUCAAAAUGACAAAAAGUAUUGCACUUACAGUUUUUGCCAUUAUUACAUUGGUAUAAACAUGUCAGAACUUUAAUUAGUACUUUAAAACACAUUUACUUUUGCAUGAAAUUAUGGAAGUAAAUAUAAUUUCUUCAAUUGAGCAAUAAAAUUUGUAUUCAUUUUACAAUGUUAUAAUUUUGAAGUGUUAGCCGUUACACAUUCUUUAGGUUUACUUACUCUCACAUACUGUUGAAGUCGGACGUUUACAUACACUUAGGUUGGAGUUAUUAAAACUAGUUUUUCAACCACUCCACAAAUUUGUUAUUAACAAACUAUAAUUUUGGCAAGUCGGUUAGGACGUCUACUUUGUGCAUGACUCAAGUAAUUUUUCCAACAAUUGUUUACGGACAGAUUAUUUCACUUAUAAUUCACUGUAUCACAAUUUCAGUGGGUCAAAAGUUUACAUACACUAAGUUGACUGUGCCUUUAAACAGCUUGGAAAAAUCCAGAAAAUUAUGUCAUGGCUUUAGAAGCUUCUGAUAGGCUAAUUGACAUAAUUUGAGUACCUGUGGAUGUAUUUCAAGGCCUACCUUCAAACUCAGUGCCUCUUUGCUUGACAUCAUGGGAAAAUCAAAAGAAAUCAGCCAAGACCUCAGAAAAUAAAGUUUAGACCUCCACAAGUCUGGUUCAUCCUUGGGAGCAAUUUUCAAAUGCCUGAAGGUACCCCGUUCAUCUGUACAAACAAUAGUACACAAGUAUAAACACCAUGGGACCACGCAGCCGUCAUACAGCUCAGGAAGGAGACGCAUUCUGCCUCCUUGAGAUGAACAUAAUUUGGUGCGAGAAGCGUAAAUCAAUCCCAGGACAACAGCAAAGGACCUUUUGAAGAUGCUGGAGGAAACAGACAAAGGUAUCUACAUCCACAGUAAAACAAGUCACCUAACCUGAAAGGCCGCUAAAGCAAGGAAGAAGCCACUCUUCCAAAACCGCCAUAAAAAUGCCAGACUAUGGUUUGCAACUACACAUGGGGACAAAUAUCGUACUUUUUGGAGAAAUGUCCUCUGGUCUGAUGAAACAAAAAUAGAACUGUUUGGCCAUAAUGACCAUUGUUAUGUUUGGAGGAAAAAGGGGGAGGCUUGCAAGCUGAAGAACACCAUCCCAAUCGUGAAGCAUGAGGGUGUCAGCAUCAUGUUGUGGGGGUGCUUUUGCUGCAGGAGGGACUGGUGCACUUCACAAAAUAGAUGGCAUCAUGAGGUUGGAAGAUUAUGUGGAUAUAUUGGAGCAACAUCUCAAGACAUCAGUCAGGAAGUUAAAGCUUGGUAACAAAUGGGUCUUCCAAAUGGACAAUGACCCCAAGCAUACUUCCAAAGUUGUGGCAAAAUGGCUUAAGAUCAACAAAGUCAAGGUAUUGGAGUGGCCAUCACAAAACGCUGACCUCAAACAUAUAGAACAUUUGUGGGCAGAACUGAAAAAGCGUGCGUGAGCAGGGAGGCCUACAAACCUGACUCAGUUACAUCAGCUCUGUCAGGAGUAAUGGGCCAAGAUUCACCCAACUUAUUGUGGGAAGCUUUUGGAGGGCUAACCGAAACGUUUGACCCAAGUUAAACAAUUUAAAGGCAAUGCUACCAAAUACUAAUUGGGUGUAUCUAAACUUCUGACCCACUGGGAAUGUGAUGAAAGAAAUGAUAGCUGAAAUAUGUCAUUCUCUCUACUAUUAUUCUGACAUUUCACAUUCUUUUAAAAUAAAGUGGGGAUCCUAAGACAGGUAAUUUUUACUAGGAUUAAAUGUCAGGAAUUGUGAAAAACUGAGUUUAAAUGUAUUUGGCUAAGGUGUAUGUAAACUUCCGACUUCAACUGUAGUUUAGCAUCGACUUGUUAUAAACAAACUACAUACUUUACACAUUAUUUCAGGUGUGUGUGUGUUUGUUCUCCUCCAUGUCUUUGUGUGUAAUUGUUUAUUGUUAUGUGAAAGGUUCACACGCUAUACUUUUGUACAUGUUCUGUAUUUUCUUUUGGGCACUUCAAUGUCAUGUUGUGCUUGUUUCUUGACCGGAAUAAAAGUGCGCCUGUUAAAUCUA